This 472-nucleotide ribosomal RNA is filed under the name uncultured bacterium. RNAcentral's name for it is "partial 16S ribosomal RNA". It matches the Rfam family "Bacterial small subunit ribosomal RNA", at positions 28 to 507 of the family's 1533-position model. The record is from RNAcentral.
GACGAACGCUGGCGGCGUGCUUAACACAUGCAAGUCGAACGCUGAAGCUUGGUGCUUGCACUGGGUGGAUGAGUGGCGAACGGGUGAGUAAUACGUGAGUAACCUGCCCUUGACUCUGGGAUAAGCCUGGGAAACUGGGUCUAAUACUGGAUAUGACAUGUCACCGCAUGGUGGUGUGUGGAAAGGGUUUUACUGGUUUUGGAUGGGCUCACGGCCUAUCAGCUUGUUGGUGGGGUAAUGGCUCACCAAGGCGACGACGGGUAGCCGGCCUGAGAGGGUGACCGGCCACACUGGGACUGAGACACGGCCCAGACUCCUACGGGAGGCAGCAGUGGGGAAUAUUGCACAAUGGGCGGAAGCCUGAUGCAGCGACGCCGCGUGAGGGAUGACGGCCUUCGGGUUGUAAACCUCUUUCAGCACGGAAGAAGCGAAAGUGACGGUACGUGCAGAAGAAGCGCCGGCUAACUACGUG